RNAcentral lists this ribosomal RNA (253 nucleotides) under uncultured bacterium. Its description in RNAcentral is "partial 16S ribosomal RNA". It matches the Rfam family "Bacterial small subunit ribosomal RNA", at positions 524 to 776 of the family's 1533-position model. The record is from RNAcentral.
UACGUAGGGUGCGAGCGUUAAUCGGAAUUACUGGGCGUAAAGCGUGCGCAGGCGGUUUUGUAAGCCAGAUGUGAAAUCCCCGGGCUUAACCUGGGAAUGGCAUUUGGGACUGCAAGGCUUGAGUGCGGCAGAGGAGACUGGAAUUCCUGGUGUAGCAGUGAAAUGCGUAGAUAUCAGGAGGAAUACCGAUGGCGAAGGCAGGUCUCUGGGCUGACACUGACGCUCAGGCACGAAAGCGUGGGGAGCAAACAGG